UUAAGCGACUAAGCGUACACGGUGGAUGCCCUGGCAGUCAGAGGCGAUGAAGGACGUGCUAAUCUGCGAUAAGCGUCGGUAAGGUGAUAUGAACCGUUAUAACCGGCGAUUUCCGAAUGGGGAAACCCAGUGUGUUUCGACACACUAUCAUUAACUGAAUCCAUAGGUUAAUGAGGCGAACCGGGGGAACUGAAACAUCUAAGUACCCCGAGGAAAAGAAAUCAACCGAGAUUCCCCCAGUAGCGGCGAGCGAACGGGGAGCAGCCCAGAGCCUGAAUCAGUGUGUGUGUUAGUGGAAGCGUCUGGAAAGGCGCGCGAUACAGGGUGACAGCCCCGUACACAAAAAUGCACAUGCUGUGAGCUCGAUGAGUAGGGCGGGACACGUGGUAUCCUGUCUGAAUAUGGGGGGACCAUCCUCCAAGGCUAAAUACUCCUGACUGACCGAUAGUGAACCAGUACCGUGAGGGAAAGGCGAAAAGAACCCCGGCGAGGGGAGUGAAAAAGAACCUGAAACCGUGUACGUACAAGCAGUGGGAGCACGCUUAGGCGUGUGACUGCGUACCUUUUGUAUAAUGGGUCAGCGACUUAUAUUCUGUAGCAAGGUUAACCGAAUAGGGGAGCCGAAGGGAAACCGAGUCUUAACUGGGCGUUAAGUUGCAGGGUAUAGACCCGAAACCCGGUGAUCUAGCCAUGGGCAGGUUGAAGGUUGGGUAACACUAACUGGAGGACCGAACCGACUAAUGUUGAAAAAUUAGCGGAUGACUUGUGGCUGGGGGUGAAAGGCCAAUCAAACCGGGAGAUAGCUGGUUCUCCCCGAAAGCUAUUUAGGUAGCGCCUCGUGAAUUCAUCUCCGGGGGUAGAGCACUGUUUCGGCAAGGGGGUCAUCCCGACUUACCAACCCGAUGCAAACUGCGAAUACCGGAGAAAGAUAUCACGGGAGACACACGGCGGGUGCUAACGUCCGUCGUGAAGAGGGAAACAACCCAGACCGCCAGCUAAGGUCCCAAAGUCAUGGUUAAGUGGGAAACGAUGUGGGAAGGCCCAGACAGCCAGGAUGUUGGCUUAGAAGCAGCCAUCAUUUAAAGAAAGCGUAAUAGCUCACUGGUCGAGUCGGCCUGCGCGGAAGAUGUAACGGGGCUAAACCAUGCACCGAAGCUGCGGCAGCGACACUAUGUGUUGUUGGGUAGGGGAGCGUUCUGUAAGCCUGUGAAGGUGUACUGUGAGGUAUGCUGGAGGUAUCAGAAGUGCGAAUGCUGACAUAAGUAACGAUAAAGCGGGUGAAAAGCCCGCUCGCCGGAAGACCAAGGGUUCCUGUCCAACGUUAAUCGGGGCAGGGUGAGUCGACCCCUAAGGCGAGGCCGAAAGGCGUAGUCGAUGGGAAACAGGUUAAUAUUCCUGUACUUGGUGUUACUGCGAAGGGGGGACGGAGAAGGCUAUGUUGGCCGGGCGACGGUUGUCCCGGUUUAAGCGUGUAGGCUGGUUUUCCAGGCAAAUCCGGAAAAUCAAGGCUGAGGCGUGAUGACGAGGCACUACGGUGCUGAAGCAACAAAUGCCCUGCUUCCAGGAAAAGCCUCUAAGCAUCAGGUAACAUCAAAUCGUACCCCAAACCGACACAGGUGGUCAGGUAGAGAAUACCAAGGCGCUUGAGAGAACUCGGGUGAAGGAACUAGGCAAAAUGGUGCCGUAACUUCGGGAGAAGGCACGCUGAUAUGUAGGUGAGGUCCCUCGCGGAUGGAGCUGAAAUCAGUCGAAGAUACCAGCUGGCUGCAACUGUUUAUUAAAAACACAGCACUGUGCAAACACGAAAGUGGACGUAUACGGUGUGACGCCUGCCCGGUGCCGGAAGGUUAAUUGAUGGGGUCAGCGCAAGCGAAGCUCUUGAUCGAAGCCCCGGUAAACGGCGGCCGUAACUAUAACGGUCCUAAGGUAGCGAAAUUCCUUGUCGGGUAAGUUCCGACCUGCACGAAUGGCGUAAUGAUGGCCAGGCUGUCUCCACCCGAGACUCAGUGAAAUUGAACUCGCUGUGAAGAUGCAGUGUACCCGCGGCAAGACGGAAAGACCCCGUGAACCUUUACUAUAGCUUGACACUGAACAUUGAGCCUUGAUGUGUAGGAUAGGUGGGAGGCUUUGAAGUGUGGACGCCAGUCUGCAUGGAGCCGACCUUGAAAUACCACCCUUUAAUGUUUGAUGUUCUAACGUUGACCCGUAAUCCGGGUUGCGGACAGUGUCUGGUGGGUAGUUUGACUGGGGCGGUCUCCUCCUAAAGAGUAACGGAGGAGCACGAAGGUUGGCUAAUCCUGGUCGGACAUCAGGAGGUUAGUGCAAUGGCAUAAGCCAGCUUGACUGCGAGCGUGACGGCGCGAGCAGGUGCGAAAGCAGGUCAUAGUGAUCCGGUGGUUCUGAAUGGAAGGGCCAUCGCUCAACGGAUAAAAGGUACUCCGGGGAUAACAGGCUGAUACCGCCCAAGAGUUCAUAUCGACGGCGGUGUUUGGCACCUCGAUGUCGGCUCAUCACAUCCUGGGGCUGAAGUAGGUCCCAAGGGUAUGGCUGUUCGCCAUUUAAAGUGGUACGCGAGCUGGGUUUAGAACGUCGUGAGACAGUUCGGUCCCUAUCUGCCGUGGGCGCUGGAGAACUGAGGGGGGCUGCUCCUAGUACGAGAGGACCGGAGUGGACGCAUCACUGGUGUUCGGGUUGUCAUGCCAAUGGCACUGCCCGGUAGCUAAAUGCGGAAGAGAUAAGUGCUGAAAGCAUCUAAGCACGAAACUUGCCCCGAGAUGAGUUCUCCCUGACUCCUUGAGAGUCCUGAAGGAACGUUGAAGACGACGACGUUGAUAGGCCGGGUGUGUAAGCGCAGCGAUGCGUUGAGCUAACCGGUACUAAUGAACCGUGAGGCUUAACCUU
RNAcentral lists this ribosomal RNA (2901 nucleotides) under Escherichia coli DEC6A. RNAcentral describes it as "bacterial LSU rRNA". It matches the Rfam family "Bacterial large subunit ribosomal RNA". Lineage: Bacteria; Pseudomonadati; Pseudomonadota; Gammaproteobacteria; Enterobacterales; Enterobacteriaceae. The record is from RNAcentral.